GGACUACGGGGGUACUGCCUGGACUAUAACCCUCCCAGGGAAAACAAUGUGGAAGGCCCCAUGUCCUUUUGUACCUCUGCCACGGGAUGGGUCAGAACCAGUUUUUCGAGUGUACAUCCCGGUCAGAAAUACGAUAUAACACCCACCAGCCUGAGGCCUGCAUAGCAGUGGAGGAAGGGAAGGAUCCUUAUCACGGGUCUCUGGAAAGAUACCGUUCCAGAGAAUCAAGAGUUCAUCCUACAGGAGGACCGCACCUUAGUCUACAAGCAGAGCAGGAAAUGUGUGGAGGCCACAGAGGAGGAGUUCAACUCUGCCUUUGCUCCGAACUUGCGAGACUGUAGCAACUCAGACAGCCAGAGGUGGUUCUUCAAGGAGCGCAUGUCAUAGUGCACGGCCUUGUCAGGGAAGGAGCCCACCGCGGCCGGGGGCUGUGUGCCCAGUGAGAGGGACAAAGUACGUGGUUGUCAUCUGUGAAUGUGUUGGACUCCACAACAAUGUGAAUUAUAUUUGUACAGAUUUGGAAAACUUUAAAAAUGUCUUCCAGUAUCCCGUUUUCUAAGGGCCGUCCUAAGAUGCUGCCUUUGGUAUUUGGGAAGCUUAAUGCACGAUGUGCAUUUUACCCAUGGUGCCUUUUAUUCUCAUUAGCAGAAAGGGGAAAUAUUUUACUUUGUUACUUACGAA
RNAcentral lists this long non-coding RNA (681 nucleotides) under Rattus norvegicus (Norway rat). RNAcentral's name for it is "long non-coding RNA NONRATT010261". The record is from RNAcentral. Lineage: Eukaryota; Metazoa; Chordata; Mammalia; Rodentia; Muridae.